This 85-nucleotide non-coding RNA is filed under the name unclassified sequences. The record is from Rfam.
GCCUUCUUCGGAGGCGUUGAAGUCGGAUCCCGUAAUCGGGCGCUUGGGACCGAUGGAGCCAGUAGCGCGACCGGCCGNAAGAUCC